This 789-nucleotide long non-coding RNA is filed under the name Homo sapiens (human). RNAcentral describes it as "long non-coding RNA NONHSAT072344.2". The record is from RNAcentral. Lineage: Eukaryota; Metazoa; Chordata; Mammalia; Primates; Hominidae.
UAUUCCCUCUGAAAAGCUUUGGAUUAUAUUAUCCUCUUAAAUCUAGGCUGCUAGUUUUCUCUGGCACAUAAUCACUGCCUCUAGCCCUCUCUCUUAAAGACAGUGUCUUUAUCAGGCUAGGCACAGUGGUUCAUGCCUGUAAUCCCAGCACUUUGGGAGACCGAGACAGGUGGAUCACCUGAGGUCAGGAGUUUGAGACCAGCCUGACCAGUAUGAUGAAACCCCAUCUCUACUAAAAAUACAAAAAUUAGCCAGACAUGGUGGCGUGUGCCUGUAGUCCCAGCUACUCAGGAGGCUGAGACAGGAGAAUUGCUUGAACCUGGGAGGUGGAAGUUGCAGUAAACCAAGAUCACGCCACUGCACUCCAGACUGGGCGACAGAGCAAGACUCCAUCUCAAUUAAAAAAAAAAGCAUCAUUAUCAUUUGGUGACAUCAAACUUUACCAUCAGAAUCACCCAGAUGACUUGUUAAAACACAAUUUUUUAGGUUCUACCCUCAGAGUUGCUCAUUCAGUAGGUCUGGAGUGGGGCCCAAGAAUUUGCAUUUCUAGUAAGUACCCAGGUGAUAAUGCUGCUGAUCUGGGACCACCCUUGGAGAACCACUGACUUAAACCAUUUGUAACACAGUUAGAAGGCCAAAAACAAAAAACAAAGCAAAGCAAAACAAAACAAAACAAAAAGCAGGAAAUAGUCUGUUAAGGACUCUUCAUUUCCUCCUGCUGAUGAUCAGGGUAUAUCCAUAGAUAAUCAUCACAUUGGCCUGGUGCGGUGGCUCACACGUGUAAUCCCA